This 72-nucleotide transfer RNA is filed under the name Dipodomys ordii (Ord's kangaroo rat). It matches the Rfam family "tRNA". Rfam says of the family: Transfer RNA (tRNA) molecules are approximately 80 nucleotides in length. The record is from Rfam by way of RNAcentral. Lineage: Eukaryota; Metazoa; Chordata; Mammalia; Rodentia; Heteromyidae.
AGAAGUAUGGCUCAAGUGGUAGAGUGCCAGCCUAGGAAAUUGGAGGCCCUUAGUUCAAAUUGAGUACUACCA